This 504-nucleotide ribosomal RNA is filed under the name uncultured bacterium. RNAcentral's name for it is "partial 16S ribosomal RNA". It matches the Rfam family "Bacterial small subunit ribosomal RNA", at positions 28 to 523 of the family's 1533-position model. The record is from RNAcentral.
GAUGAACGCUAGCGGCAGGCUUAAUACAUGCAAGUCGUGGGGCAGCAGGACUGUAGCAAUACAGUUGCUGGCGACCGGCAAACGGGUGCGGAACACGUACGCAAUCUACCCAGAACUGGUGAAUCGCCCCCCGAAAGGAGGAUUAAUGCACCGUAAUAUUAUAAAGUGGCAUCACUUAAUAAUUAAAUCUCCGGCGGUUUUGGAUGGGCGUGCGGCCCAUUAGGUAGUUGGUUGAGGUAAUGGCUCACCAAGCCUGCGAUGGGUAACUGGUGUGAGAGCACGAACAGUCACACGGGCACUGAGACACGGGCCCGACUCCUACGGGAGGCAGCAGUAAGGAAUAUUGGUCAAUGGACGCAAGUCUGAACCAGCCAUGCCGCGUGGAGGAGGAAGGCCCUCUGGGUUGUAAACUUCUUUUAUGGGGGACGAAAUCACUUAUUCUUAAGUGUCUGACGGUACCCCAGGAAUAAGCACCGGCUAACUCCGUGCCAGCCGCCGCAGUAA